Molecule: non-coding RNA, 7176 nt
Organism: Anas platyrhynchos (mallard)
Lineage: Eukaryota; Metazoa; Chordata; Aves; Anseriformes; Anatidae
Source: RefSeq, a predicted model, not a curated record
AGGUGAAGAGGAGGGGUGAUAAAUGAUAAAUACUGGUUAAGCAAUCUAGUUCUUUUUAUAGGGAACUUAUUAUUCUGUUUAUUUUGUUGUUGUACUUUGCUUGUUUUUUAACCAGAAUGACUAGAGGAGGUUCACCUAGAGGCUAGUUAAUGGCAGCCAGAUAGUGUUUAAGCAAUAUCGGAUCCUAGAAAAUGAUGUUCAUGAUCUGACUUUUGACCACAAAAGCUGACGCAAGGCAGGAGUCUCUGUAGUCCUCGCUCCAAUGAAUCUGGAAAACCCAGGAUAAUUCCAUGGGAUCUGCCUGCAGCACUCCUGGAAAGGGUGAGUCUGACAGAAGCAACAGGCCAGCACGGACAUCAGUGACUUUGAAGGAAGGCAGUUUCUGCGUUGGGGGAGAAGAAAAUCUUCAUGCUUACUGGGGCUGUGGAGACUUGCCAUCUUCAUUAAGGAACUUACAUAAUUUUUAAAAGGGGAAUGUAUGUGAGAAAAGGGAAAAGAUUUGCACUUGCUGAUGUUCCAUAAGAAGCAAAUGUUUGACCAGAAAAACACAGCUUGUAUAAGAGAGAGAUCUUGUAGGGAGCUUGAUGCUCCCUAGAGAAGAUGUGAUGCCACGGCAUGGGUCUGCCUAGAGAACUGGUUGUCCUGUUUGGGAUCCCAGCAGUUCCAGAACAGACUUCUUUAACUACAAGUGCAUUUAGCUUCUUGAGCACUGCAAAAACACCUUAAAACCAAGCUGAGCUGCCUUUUAUAAAAUGCCGAUUUUAAUUCCUGAUGCGGGAAAAUUCUACCUUCUAAUGAUGCUGCAGGGGUGUGAGAAAAGGAACCAAAUUCCUCCUUGUCACUGCCCUUAGUCUGUAUUUCUAAUGGCCCUGGAAAACCAGCAUCAAAGCUUAUUUGUCUUGAGGCAGCAUUUAGGAGAGGGGCUGUGAUAACCUGAUUUCCAGUGCCUACCUAUGUAUGUCAGAUGUGUUGUAUGUGCUAAAGGCAGAGGAGACUGGCAGACAGCAGUAAGUUUGAGCUAUUUGUAUUUUCUUCCAGGAUUUGCUCUGCCCCAUCCUCCACUAGCCAAAGGCUGUAACAGGGGAUAACAUUAGUGUGGAGUCUUCGGGUCUCUGUCCUGAGAUGCCUCAGAUUUCUGAUGACAAGGUAAAGGUGUUUGACAAGAAGAAGGGGCUGAUAAGUCUCUCACCCUACUGUAAGAACCUAACUUUGCUUUUUCUCACUUAAGCCUUGGAACCAUGGCUAUAAGAAACACAUUACACUUUCCAGGGAGUGCUGAGAGCCCCAGAUGAAGCUGUCAUCCACGUGGAGGUGAGACCCAUCAGCAGACAAGGCUGGCCAGGCACUGGCACUCAGCAAGGACAUGAGUCAGAUGGAGAGAGGGCUGGCAGGCGUGCAGAGAGAGCGGUGCAGUAGGAGGCAGAAAGCAGCUGGCAGUGCAGGAGGGAGUAGUAAUGGGAACGAACAGGAGGAGGAGGAGGAGGGAAUACAAAAAGUCCUCAUUCUUGCACAGAUAUUCAGCAUCCUAUUCAGCAAAAAUAACAUUAGGAUUUCAAAGAAAUAUUCAAAUAAAUUUUGAUCCUUUGAGGUAUUUAUUUUAAUUCUUUAAUAAAAGGAGACGUAUGUGCAUUUCUCCCUCCAGCCCCAGCCUGUUUAAUAGCAUUACUUUUAGCUUCACCCCAUUCUAAAUCUUCCACGUGAAGUCUCAGCAGAUCCAAUCAGGUAUAUUUCAUUGCUCAAUGGUAGAGAGGAAAUGAAUUUUUCUGAUGAGGGCAAAGCACAGUGAAUAGUUUGAUUCUCCUCCCCAAUACCAUUUGCAAUCAGUUUUGUGCUGCAAAUGAAGUCAAUGUUUUCCUGGGUCAGAGGUGGCUAAUUAUUCACAGUACUUUCAUUUCCAGCAGUAGAAUCAUCAUAUUUCUGUCAAUCAUCAUUCUAACUAUGUUGUGCUUGAUUUACUUUGCGUUGCUCUUAGGUUUGCAAGUCUAGUGACUAUCCAGACUUGUUCUCUUCUUUGUUGCAUUCCCUCAGCCAGUAGUUCUUGUGGCUUCUGAAGGGACUAACACAAGGACUCUGGCACCAGUGCUGCAGUUUUCUCCCACUUUAUGAGGUCACGUCUGUUAAAAAAAUGAAAUGGGAAGGAGGAAAGAAUUUAACGCUCAGUGUGUAUCUAUCAAAACAGUGUUACUUCACUAAAAUGAUUAAUGUCAUCUCUGUUUUGUUUAACAGCAACAGAAUCCCAAAGCUGAGAGAAGUGUAAGAGUCAUGGUACAGCUGGGGUUUGAACCUGACUGUGUUAAUUCUCAGGCUAGUAUUUUCCCUUCCAGUGCUUAAUGCUUCCCUCUGAUGAGUGUCCAGAGCUCAGAUAGUUGCAGCGACCACAGAGGGUUUACAGCAUCCUUUGCAUUUAUCCCUUGCAGUCUUACCCUUGCAUUCAGAACACUUCCUAAUGUAAAUCAGCGGAGUAACUGAGCAUCCCUGAACGUCCUCUGCAGCAAAUUGACUGAUGCACUGGUAGGGAUGGAAACCCAAAGAAGCCAUGAUCCAGCCUUACCUUUUCAUGUAGUAGAAAGGUACUCUGUAUACAGAUCUGUUUAGAAAGAUUUUAAGAGGGCUCCAGAGUAGAUGCUAAUAAUUAAAAUGCUAAUUAAAAAUGUUCCCAAUGGUAUUCAAUAGUAGUGUUGUCAGGGCAGGUGAGAUUUCAAUUAUCUUGCUAUUGCUCUUUGAACUAGAAAAGUGCCCUGCAGUGAGUAAAGGUGGAGUACCUCAGCCAUGGCUGCUUCACAGUGCUGAAGUGCUGACUUUCCUCGGGAAUUCUUCAGUUUCUCUUUUUCACAUUAAAAAAAUCCACAGGUUUCUUCCUAUGAUUCUGAAUGUGCAAAAUGGCCACUUUGAGAACCUCAGUGUCACAGGAGAGUGAGCAACACCACAUGGGUCUCCUGCCCAGAGAGCCUCGUGAGACCCUGUCACAAUUUUCACUUGCUGUCUUUGCUCCAAACAGAACUGGUGACAAGACUGGGCUUCAGGGCUUUGAAAUGUCAGCCACCACGGCAGGGGAUGCGGGUCAGCAAAGGGCCAACAGGGCGCCUUCUUCAAGAUCAGAUCUUCACAGAGACUGAAGUAAAGCUUUGAAAUGCUCAGCUCUUGGAGCCUAAAAGAGCAGGAAACAGAGCCCUGUGCGAGUGCCUGCUGUGCUGAUCUGCUCGUUCUGCCCCAAAGAAACCUGAGCUACAAAGCUAAAUGUUGGCUCUGGGUACCCAAGCCCUAAUAUCAUGAGAAGAGCUGCUCUCAGUGCUGAACGAAGAGGCCUACAAAUGUGAACUCCAAGGAAUUGUUCUGAGCCUAUUAUUCUGCUAUGAAGUGUGCCCGUUCAGUUUUGCCUAUCAGUGGCAGCAGGGUCGUGAAGGCCAGGUAAUGAACAGAGUGACACCAGGAUGCUGCCCAGCUCCACCAAGCUCUGGGACAGCUGUGCAGCUGCAGGAGGAUGCUGGAGAAGCUGUGCAAGCUCUUUGGAUGUACUUUUCCUUCCUGGAGCAUAAUAAAGUGGGUAGCAUACGUACUGCUUUCUGCUGCCUAGAUUGAGAUGAAGUGGCAGAACAGGCUGAAGAAAGUAGGACAAAAAGGCUGAGGUAUGACAGCUGAUCUAGUUUUGUAUGUCUUAACAUGAUAGCUUACACAGUGAGACUCUUCUUUCUCCAAUAAUGAACAAUGGGUAACUGGAGACCGCUCUAUUUUCUGCUUCAUAUUGAAAGAAGACCUGAAGUCAGAUUUUCCACAACUGCCCCGUGUCCCAGCUGGUCCAGGCUGCUCUGUAUGUGCUAUCAUUUAACAACAGGAGGGAAGGAGGUGCUGCUGGCUGGGCAAUUGUACUAGAAUGCAGGAUUGAUGGAUUUUUAAGACAAGCUAGUGAGUUUGUCUUGUUUUCUCACCUGUUGGAGAAAAGGUAACGCUUCCCAUUCAGAGGUAUUGCACCUGCCUGGAGUUUGCAAAGAGGUCUCAUACGCUGCUUUAGUAGGAAGGGCUUUGGUUAUAAAGUCUUUUGGUUUAUGUAUUGUCCUCUCCAGAUAAAAUAACCAGAAAUGGAAUCCACUUAUGUUUCUAUUACAAACACACUACGUGAAUAUUCUACACAUUGCUCAGUCUACUGGAUGGAAAAAUCAUUUCAGGCCAGUGAGGAGGUCACUAUACUAUUUGCUAGGCCUCUCCUUUCCUAUUUAUCUCUCCCUUACUGUCUUUAAUCUUUACUUAGUGCUAGUUGCAGUAAACCCAGAGUUCCCCUAAAAUUUAUUCCAGGUAAAUGUUGAAAAGUGACUUUUUUUUUUUUUGACAAUUGUGUGGGUUUAAAUAAAAGGACUAAAAACCUUUGCCACUACCAGGCAGUCAAUAUGGGUAGUAGAGUUUUUGCUGGCAGGUAGGGCAUGUAAAGCCAUUAGACUCUGUUCCAAACUGUCACCACGCUGCUGCUCAUCCCCUUUGUGUUUGUAGCAAUAAUCCCUGCAGUGAGCCCCAGCAGGGUGAAGUCUUAUUUAUAGAAGUGUACCUGGCACUGAAAGAUACCUAAUGCAGGGUGAUGCCUUGGGACACCACCAGUAAAAGGGUAAGAGCAGUGAAUUAAGUUACUUUUGCAGUCUUCCUUUAAUGUUAGAUUGAUUUUUUUUUUUUUCCUUUUUAAAAGAGCACAAAUAAAAUGUCUGUUCCAGAUUUUGGUUGAAAGGAGAAGCUGUUCCAUGUCAUACAUAAGCUUUUACUGAUAAAAAGAUCAAAUGAGAAUUAGAUUAACCCUUGAUUUAACUUUGUAAUCAUAAAAUCUCUCUGAAAGAUUGUGGUAGAGCUUCCUUUUCUUUGACUUGUUUGCUCUGCAGCAACUUCUUUACACAGUAAGUCAGUCGUGCUGCUGCAGGAUUGGACUAAUUGCAGUGCUCCUUUAUUUAAAGGAUUUUGCUCACCAGGGAAUGAGAUCACAUGAAAGAAUGAAAGAGAACUGAGUAAUAUCUAGAGCACUCGUGUGUAAUACCUGUUACUGCCUACUGACAUGUCCAGGCAAUUCCAUUGGUUGACAUCAGCUUUAAAUGUUGUUUUCUGGCAAACAUCUCAGUCACUCUUUUUUUUUUCUUUUUUUUUUUUAAAAAAAAAGCUAAAAAUAAAAAAAUUUGGCCUCAGUGUUAUGACGUCUUCUCCAUUACCCCAAGUAUGUGCGAGGUGUGCUCAAUAGUGUGGCAUAUGCAACAUUGAGCUCUCUGGAAAAUGACCUUUAAAGGAUGUCUAAUUGUAAUCCCUCUGGAUUUUGGGAAUAACCUAUUUUUCCCUGUCACCUCUGGAAAACUGGAGAAGUUUUAUCAAUCUAGGGUUGCUGUUGAUUUCUCUUGCUAGCAGUGAUGAUUGGCUUCAGUUUCAUGGAAGAACUGGGCUAAGUGAUACAGCCUCUUCCUGAACCUGGACUCGUAGCACAUCCUGAGCUGGAAGGGAUCUGCAAGGAUCAUUGAGUAUUGGGUCAAGUGUCCUGGAUCUCUGACUUGCAAUGUGCUGGAACAGCCUGAAACUCCUGAACUGCCUUCCUGUGAGUCUGUGCUUGUGAACGUGGGGGUGUGUGAUGUAUGAGAUUGAGAUAUUGAACGUCAGGACACUUCUCUAUCUGAGCUCCUCUCUUUGGAUGCUUCUUGCUCACCAGCAGCUGGUACUUUGUGUUCCAUGCUGUUGGCCUGAGGCACAUACCAAGCUCCUGUGCUCAUCAUGUGCAGGUUGUUUUCGGAGGGCGUCAGACAGACCCCUCUCCUGACGGGAACAGAAUAAAAUAUAAACGAAGCAGAGAGCCCAGCAGGAAGAAGGCUGAAAGCUCGGGAUGUACCAAUGUGCUUUGGAGGGCUGCCUGCUGACUAACAAACACAGUCAGGCCUGCUCGCUGCUUCUCCAGAGCACUGAGUGUUUAAAUCUUCAAGGAUAUUUAAAGAACAAAGACAGAAAUACCUCCUGUUCCUCCUGACGUGCUUAUCAGAGCCUGCCUCUGCCCUCUCCUCUGCAGCAGAAGCUGUGCUGCCAGGACUGCACGGCACUGAUGUCAGCUCUCUUGGUAUCUCACUGCCAGCCAGCAAACAAACCUCUGCUCUAUGCCCCUGUCAUACGUCUGGCCUUGCUAACACGGGAAAGAUGUGGUGUGGUACAAGUUAAAUACAUCAUUUGGGUGUGAUAUGGUAUCUGCUGCAAGUGUUCAAUAGCCAAGAACGUGAAGGUUGGUGUUUCAUCACUACAACACCUGAGGGGCUUAGGGGUGUGUGCUGGCCGUGGGCUGAGGUAUUGUCAUGGACGGGAUACUGGUGCUAGAUCAGUCUGGAUUGCUAGACAAACAGGCGCCUGUGCUAAGAUUGUGAAAUAAAGCUCCUUUCAGCCUGGGAGAUGGGAGCGACCGCCCUGAGAGAGAGAAAAGUCCUUCGAGUACCUGGCAGCACGCUGGCACACGCAGUCAGCAGAACCAAAUUGAAGAGGUCAGGGAAAGUGCGGGGAAGUCUUAUUUAUCUGGUCAGGCAUGCGCCCAAAACUCGUCAUGCUUUUGCCUGCUCAGCAGUACAAAUCUAGGAGCAAAAUGCAUCAGAGACAUCAGAUGCCCUUCAUCGAAUUUACCGGAUAAAAGAAUACGGUGAGCGGAAAGCUGCUUCGCAUGUGCUGGUUUUUUGUCACUCCAAUUGCAGUAGAAAUAGAAGAGCCUACUUUUAAACUGUUUUCUAUUGUUGAUGGAGUAGGGUUUUUACCUUCCUCGAGCCUUAAUUCCAGUGAUGAAAUUUAGUUUUAAACAGUCCUGCUGCCAGCACCAGUGUCUGUUCUCUCUCUGCGAACUCAGGCAUGUCAGCAAGCAGUUCUGCAGCAGUGCAGGAUGAUGCUGCACCAACAGAGAGAAAACCUUCCUCUAACUGGUACCAAAUGCUGACUGAGCAAGCUUAUAGCGUUUAGCUGCUAUUGAAACGUGUGGAGAAAACAAAGAACCUGUUCCUUUACUGUCUCUAUUCCGCUUUCUGCCCCACAGAGAAAACCAUCCCACAAAUUGCCCGCUGCUGCUCUGUAGGUACUUGCAUGUUCCGAACUGGCAGACCCACGCGUGCCUCAGACCUAAUUAAGAUGUCUCCCAAAGCAGAGGAAGGAAUGUGUAUUUCAGUGCUGGUAAAUACAAUUUGGAGUUGCAUUCCUUAA